Triticum urartu is the source of this 595-nucleotide non-coding RNA. The record is from RefSeq and is a predicted model, not a curated record. Lineage: Eukaryota; Viridiplantae; Streptophyta; Magnoliopsida; Poales; Poaceae.
UUAUGUGCACAUUAUUUACUUUAUUUCUAUAUCCAUAGGUUGAGAGGGACAUGGGAGCUGAAGCCUUGCCAUACAGUGGACAGGGAGAAAAGUCGGGAAUACUUAGUGAAAUACGUAUUGCCGGCUAUAAAGGAAAAGUGGCCUGAGAGCGAUAGAUGGAACACCAUCUACGUACAGCAGGACAAUGCAAGGACUCAUAUAAAACCAGAUGAUCCACUUUUUUUGCAGGAAGCUGCUAGGGGUGGUUGGGAUAUUAGGAUGAUAUACCAACCACCUAAUUCUCCUGACACAAACAUAUUAGAUCUUGGUUGGUUUGCCUCAAUUCAAGCCAUGUUCCAUAGAAAGAUGCCCAAGACCCUAGCUGAGAUUGUCCAAAAGGUUAAUCAAUCCCUAGCUGAGUACCCCCAUCAAAAGCUCAAUAGGAUCUGGUUGAGUCAUCAAGCAUGCAUGAGAGAGAUCAUCAAGCACAAGGGGUCUAUCCACUACGCGGUUCCUCACUUGAAGAAAAAAGCAUUAGAGAGAAAAGGACUUCUCCCGGUUCGUUUGACGAUUGAUCGAGAAUAUGUUGAGCAGGCAAUUGAGUUCUUGAACUCAA